This 253-nucleotide ribosomal RNA is filed under the name uncultured bacterium. RNAcentral's name for it is "partial 16S ribosomal RNA". It matches the Rfam family "Bacterial small subunit ribosomal RNA", at positions 524 to 776 of the family's 1533-position model. The record is from RNAcentral.
UACGGGGGGGGCAAGCGUUGUUCGGAAUUACUGGGCGUAAAGGGCUCGUAGGCGGCCAACUAAGUCAGACGUGAAAUCCCUCGGCUUAACCGGGGAACUGCGUCUGAUACUGGAUGGCUUGAGUUUGGGAGAGGGAUGCGGAAUUCCAGGUGUAGCGGUGAAAUGCGUAGAUAUCUGGAGGAACACCGGUGGCGAAGGCGGCAUCCUGGACCGGCAUUGACGCUGAACAGCGAAAGCUAGGGGAGCAAACGGG